AACAAACGAGCACAGCAUCACAUUACCUGGGCAACUGAGCUAGUGUGGUGUGUUAGGACAGAUUCCAUCACCGGCAGACACACUGCAGGGAGAAGCCUUGCCAGAAUUUGUGCAGACUGGAGAGCAUGACUGAUGGAGGACAAAACCCUCCAGUUCUGGAUUGAAGGGGAAACUAGAUGUCACAGAGGUCAAUAGAUCUGAGUUCAUCUGGUAGUGGCAGGGCUUGCAAUAGUGAGUACGGAGAAGAAACCUGAGUCCCCAAAUGAGAAGCAGCCCUGCUCCCAUUGAACUGUACUGGCCAUGUGCCUCCACUUCCUAUUCACGUUUAUUCACCAAGCGUUCUGGUGGUUGCCUAUGCUACAGAUGGAAUGCAAAACAAUAAAAUUAUGAUUGCUGGUACACAUCUUGAAGUAAUAGAAUUCCUUGUUAGUACUUUGUAUCCAGCUGUGAUGUCCGAAAUAAACUGAACGUAGUUUUUAA
Phyllostomus discolor (pale spear-nosed bat) is the source of this 480-nucleotide long non-coding RNA. RefSeq lists it as uncharacterized. The record is from RefSeq and is a predicted model, not a curated record. The transcript has 2 exons. NCBI's taxonomy places the organism in Eukaryota, Metazoa, Chordata, Mammalia, Chiroptera, Phyllostomidae.